Hirundo rustica (Barn swallow) is the source of this 1357-nucleotide long non-coding RNA. RefSeq lists it as uncharacterized. The transcript is spliced from 4 exons. The record is from RefSeq and is a predicted model, not a curated record. Lineage: Eukaryota; Metazoa; Chordata; Aves; Passeriformes; Hirundinidae.
UUUUUUUUCUCCCGGGACGUCGAGGCAGCCCAGGUACUGGAGAGAAGGAAAAUCUUCCUUCAGGACUGGACCAAGGUAUGGAAUAUGCACACCCAAGAACUGGGGACUGAUGCUUACUCCCUUCCACCUCAGGUCUCAAUCCCUCUUCUGACUUGCUGAUACAAGAAUCUCAUGCCCAUCACCAAAACAAAGUCAGGAGCUUUUCUGUUACAAGUGAGAACAACAAGAAUUAGCUCUCUCAGCACUUCAACAAGCGGAGAUUUUUGUCUGUAAUGAGGAGAAUGAGACUGGUUUGACAUAAACUACAAAACAACGCGGCAAAGAUGAAGAAGGAGGGCAGAAAUACAUUACUGAAGAGGUGCCAUUAAAUUACCAGCCAGACAUUAAUAUACAGUACACAAGGGACCUUGUAUAUAAGCAAUGAUUAUUACUGUGUGACUCAGAUGGAGCUCGCUGUGCACCCAGAGAGCUGCUGGACGGGAGGUGAAGAGGGAAUACCUGUCUGGAUGGAGACUGGUGCUGCUUAGGCAGUGCUGGAUGUGCCACUGGGUUGGGUGUUUAGAGGAAAAAUUUUCCCAGAGCAGGAGCAUGACAAGGGGACAGUGGUCUGUCGUGGUAGAAACACCUCUGCUUUGUUUCACAAAAUAACAGAAGGCAAGCACGUGGUGUGGAUGAUCCUGGAGCUAAAGGUACUAAGCCAUUUUAAGCCAACUAUUACUCUGGACCCCCUUAAAAAAGGAGUCUUCUUCCCCCACCCAGCAUCUCCUUCAGCUGCUGAUUCCGGCUGUGCAGGGAUGCUGGAAAUGGUUAAUUCCAAACAUGGCUUUCCUUCCAUGCCACUGUCUCCAGAGCGAGAACAACACCUACAGAAAGCAAAGACUGCAAGAACGAGCUGGAGUUAAGCGUGGGCUGUGGACACCACACUGGAUAAUCUCCAAGUAACAGGGUGGAGAGGUAAAAUCAUGUCUUGUGAUUGCCUCCUUCCACAGGCAGGUACAACUUCAAAUGCAGGAGUGUUGUAAGUUCAUCUAGAAGGAAGAAAUUCAAAAUCCCUCCAGCUCCUGAAAAAAUGUAUGCCAAUUAAUUCUGAAUUGGGAUUUUCCUUUACAUUUGAUCUACUUAAGAAUGCACCACAAGGAGAGCUUCCUAUGAGGAAAGCUUAGAAAUGCUCUCAGGGAAAAGGCACCAUCGUAACUCUCCCACUUCCUAAAGGGAUCGGGGUAGAGCUCUGCUUAAUGCACAUCCUCUAAAGGAAAUAUAAGCCUUGCCUAAAACAGCCUCUUUAGGUUCUGCUGAAAAAAACCCCAACCAGAUGAUCCCUCCCCGUCUCUGCUCUGUUUUUAACUUCCCUACUGCG